UACCAUAAUCAACACUGAUGAAUUUGUGACCGUAUACUCUAAAUUGGAAUAUGUUAACUCUACACCUACAACUUUUAAAAAAGAUAUUUACUGCAAAGAAUCUAAACUAUGGAUGGAAGCCAUGAGGAACAAAUGGAUUUUUUAAGUAGAAUAAGACAUGGAUUCUAGUUAAUAAGCCACAAAAAAGGACCAACAAAAAUACAAACAAAACAAAAGAUUGUUGACUACAAAUGGGUCUACA
RNAcentral lists this long non-coding RNA (241 nucleotides) under Olea europaea (common olive). RNAcentral describes it as "long non-coding RNA (OEUR_LNC007677)". The record is from RNAcentral. Lineage: Eukaryota; Viridiplantae; Streptophyta; Magnoliopsida; Lamiales; Oleaceae.